Molecule: long non-coding RNA, 859 nt
Filed under: Equus caballus (horse)
Lineage: Eukaryota; Metazoa; Chordata; Mammalia; Perissodactyla; Equidae
Description: lncRNA (ENSECAG00000059297.1)
Source: RNAcentral
CAAGGGCUUACAACCAAUUGAUAGCUGGCUAACAUUUAGCCUUUCCCAAUGAUUUCCACAGGUUUCGUGUGACUGGAUCCUCAUCUAGAUCAUAGAAGAAAAUCCAAGCAAUAGGGUCCUGACUUCCAGUGGAACGGGAAGAAACAGGCCAGCUGGAGUCUCUAGGGCACGGUUGGAAGUCACAGCCAGAGCCUCAUCAUCAAGAGCAAGGCUGACGUGGGUCAUACAACAAAUGAAGAACCCCACAGGACUGAUGGAUGCCGCUCUGAGAGCCCAAGGGUCUGCCACAGGCCUGCUGUGACAAAGCAAGGGGACCCCACGGUGAAGGCUGCAGCACAUGGCCAGGCCCGGAGCUGAGGGAAACAGCAGAAACCCAGGGUCUGUCUGCAGCUCACUCGAAGAGGAGCAGAGAUGGGGAGCAGGAAACGCAGGUUUCUGCAGGUCAGAAGUCCAGGCCCAACCGAGCCAGGUCCUCUGCUCAGAGUUUCACAAAACUGAAGAAAGCUGUUGGCCAGGCUGCGCCCCUGCCUGGGGCUCAGGGCCCUCCCCAAGCUACGAGGCUGUUGGCAAAAUCCAGUUCCUGUGGUUGUGGGACUGAGGCCCCAGUGCCCUUGCUGGCCGUCAGCCGGGACGGCUCUCGGCUUCUAGAGGCAUCAUCUGGAGUCGAGGCGGCAUCUUUCAGCACCUCGUAUCCUCGGAAGCAAGAAGCACCCGGGGCUCAGAGAGCAGCGGCCUCAUUGUCCCUGUGUCUUGGGGUUUUUUUCUGGUUGGGUUGGAGAGGCCCGAGAAGAGCAAAGUCACAAUAAAAACCUUUCUCUUGACCAAAGAUUUGGCAGCUCUAGUUUGUCCUGUAUUUUCC